UACGUAGGGUGCAAGCGUUGUCCGGAAUUAUUGGGCGUAAAGAGCUCGUAGGCGGUUUGUCGCGUCGUGCUGUGAAAACGCGAGGCUCAACCUCGCGCCUGCAGUGGGUACGGGCAGACUAGAGUGCGGUAGGGGAGAUUGGAAUUCCUGGUGUAAGCGGUGGAAUGCGCAGAUAUCAGGAGGAACACCGGAUGGCGAAGGCAGAUCUCUGGGCCGUAACUGACGCUGAGGAGCGAAAGCGUGGGGAGCGAACAGG
RNAcentral lists this ribosomal RNA (256 nucleotides) under uncultured bacterium. Its description in RNAcentral is "partial 16S ribosomal RNA". It matches the Rfam family "Bacterial small subunit ribosomal RNA", at positions 524 to 776 of the family's 1533-position model. The record is from RNAcentral.